This is a long non-coding RNA of Bos taurus (domestic cattle), 771 nucleotides long. NCBI's taxonomy places the organism in Eukaryota, Metazoa, Chordata, Mammalia, Artiodactyla, Bovidae. The record is from Ensembl.
UGGGGGGUGUACUCAUGAACACGCAAAGGUCUACUGGAUGCUGUGCUUCCACCGGACCACACUGUGGUAGAUGUCUUCCACUUGCCCCUCCAGACCACCUCCCCACCCUCCGGCCAUGCCCAGUGUCCUGCAAUGCUGACCUUUGUGAAUGGGCUCAUCCAAGGCUACUUUGCCCUGGCUUCUGGUCAGGUUCAGCCAAUGGAAGGCACUGGGAGCAGGAAGUUAUUGCUUCCUCGAACUUGCAGUGAGUUGUCUAAUUCUCCUAACAAAGGCUGCAGCUCUGACCAGGUGGCCGUAUUCUAACCACUUCAGCACUUGUGCCUUCAGGUCUAGGAGAGAUGAAGCCUGCUCACCCUGGGAUUCCUCACCACUUAUCUGUAGUUUGGCUGGGAAAGCUCUGCUUGAAGCCACAAACCUCCCUGGCGCGGAUUAAGCCUUCAAAUUGGCUUACAUCCACCUUCCUCAUUUUCCUUGGACUAGCCCUGCCAGGGCACGUUCCUUUCAUGGCAAGUGGCAGGAGCCCAGGAAGUUGAGCAGAGACCCUUGAUGCCUCCUGAGGCCUCGAGCUGACCUGCAUCAGUUGUCACUGGAUCUCCCUCCCCUUCUGGGCUCUGGCUGACUUCAGCCCACAGCAGACACCAGCAGGAAAUGGAGGGGAGUUGGAAAGCACCAGCAGAGUGCUGACUAUUCUAACGCCCUUACCAGUGGACGAUGGCUUGGCAGCUGUAACCUGGUUCCGACACGGAAGGCCCCAGCCGCUUUUCAGCAACC